AGCGACUUAUAUUCUGUAGCAAGGUUAACCGAAUAGGGGAGCCGAAGGGAAACCGAGUCUUAACUGGGCGUUAAGUUGCAGGGUAUAGACCCGAAACCCGGUGAUCUAGCCAUGGGCAGGUUGAAGGUUGGGUAACACUAACUGGAGGACCGAACCGACUAAUGUUGAAAAAUUAGCGGAUGACUUGUGGCUGGGGGUGAAAGGCCAAUCAAACCGGGAGAUAGCUGGUUCUCCCCGAAAGCUAUUUAGGUAGCGCCUCGUGAAUUCAUCUCCGGGGGUAGAGCACUGUUUCGGCAAGGGGGUCAUCCCGACUUACCAACCCGAUGCAAACUGCGAAUACCGGAGAAUGUUAUCACGGGAGACACACGGCGGGUGCUAACGUCCGUCGUGAAGAGGGAAACAACCCAGACCGCCAGCUAAGGUCCCAAAGUCAUGGUUAAGUGGGAAACGAUGUGGGAAGGCCCAGACAGCCAGGAUGUUGGCUUAGAAGCAGCCAUCAUUUAAAGAAAGCGUAAUAGCUCACUGGUCGAGUCGGCCUGCGCGGAAGAUGUAACGGGGCUAAACCAUGCACCGAAGCUGCGGCAGCGACGCUGAUGCGUUGUUGGGUAGGGGAGCGUUCUGUAAGCCUGUGAAGGUGUGCUGUGAGGUAUGCUGGAGGUAUCAGAAGUGCGAAUGCUGACAUAAGUAACGAUAAAGCGGGUGAAAAGCCCGCUCGCCGGAAGACCAAGGGUUCCUGUCCAACGUUAAUCGGGGCAGGGUGAGUCGACCCCUAAGGCGAGGCCGAAAGGCGUAGUCGAUGGGAAACAGGUUAAUAUUCCUGUACUUGGUGUUACUGCGAAGGGGGGACGGAGAAGGCUAUGUUGGCCGGGCGACGGUUGUCCCGGUUUAAGCGUGUAGGCUGGUUUUCCAGGCAAAUCCGGAAAACUAAGGCUGAGGCGUGAUGACGAGGCACUACGGUGCUGAAGCAACAAAUGCCCUGCUUCCAGGAAAAGCCUCUAAGCAUCAGGUAACAUCAAAUCGUACCCCAAACCGACACAGGUGGUCAGGUAGAGAAUACCAAGGCGCUUGAGAGAACUCGGGUGAAGGAACUAGGCAAAAUGGUGCCGUAACUUCGGGAGAAGGCACGCUGAUAUGUAGGUGAAGUCCCUCGCGGAUGGAGCUGAAAUCAGUCGAAGAUACCAGCUGGCUGCAACUGUUUAUUAAAAACACAGCACUGUGCAAACACGAAAGUGGACGUAUACGGUGUGACGCCUGCCCGGUGCCGGAAGGUUAAUUGAUGGGGUCAGCGCAAGCGAAGCUCUUGAUCGAAGCCCCGGUAAACGGCGGCCGUAACUAUAACGGUCCUAAGGUAGCGAAAUUCCUUGUCGGGUAAGUUCCGACCUGCACGAAUGGCGUAAUGAUGGCCAGGCUGUCUCCACCCGAGACUCAGUGAAAUUGAACUCGCUGUGAAGAUGCAGUGUACCCGCGGCAAGACGGAAAGACCCCGUGAACCUUUACUAUAGCUUGACACUGAACAUUGAGCCUUGAUGUGUAGGAUAGGUGGGAGGCUUUGAAGUGUGGACGCCAGUCUGCAUGGAGCCGACCUUGAAAUACCACCCUUUAAUGUUUGAUGUUCUAACGUUGACCCGUAAUCCGGGUUGCGGACAGUGUCUGGUGGGUAGUUUGACUGGGGCGGUCUCCUCCUAAAGAGUAACGGAGGAGCACGAAGGUUGGCUAAUCCUGGUCGGACAUCAGGAGGUUAGUGCAAUGGCAUAAGCCAGCUUGACUGCGAGCGUGACGGCGCGAGCAGGUGCGAAAGCAGGUCAUAGUGAUCCGGUGGUUCUGAAUGGAAGGGCCAUCGCUCAACGGAUAAAAGGUACUCCGGGGAUAACAGGCUGAUACCGCCCAAGAGUUCAUAUCGACGGCGGUGUUUGGCACCUCGAUGUCGGCUCAUCACAUCCUGGGGCUGAAGUAGGUCCCAAGGGUAUGGCUGUUCGCCAUUUAAAGUGGUACGCGAGCUGGGUUUAGAACGUCGUGAGACAGUUCGGUCCCUAUCUGCCGUGGGCGCUGGAGAACUGAGGGGGGCUGCUCCUAGUACGAGAGGACCGGAGUGGACGCAUCACUGGUGUUCGGGUUGUCAUGCCAAUGGCACUGCCCGGUAGCUAAAUGCGGAAGAGAUAAGUGCUGAAAGCAUCUAAGCACGAAACUUGCCCCGAGAUGAGUUCUCCCUGACUCCUUGAGAGUCCUGAAGGAACGUUGAAGACGACGACGUUGAUAGGCCGGGUGUGUAAGCGCAGCGAUGCGUUGAGCUAACCGGUACUAAUGAACCGUGAGGCUUAACCUUACAACGCCGAAGGUGUUU
Molecule: ribosomal RNA, 2341 nt
Filed under: Shigella flexneri
Lineage: Bacteria; Pseudomonadati; Pseudomonadota; Gammaproteobacteria; Enterobacterales; Enterobacteriaceae
Description: partial 23S ribosomal RNA
Rfam family: Bacterial large subunit ribosomal RNA
Source: RNAcentral